AACAUCUAAGUACCUGGAGGAAGAGAAAGAAAAAUCGAUUUCCUGAGUAGCGGCGAGCGAAACGGAAAGAGCCCAAACCAAGAAGCUUGCUUCUUGGGGUUGUAGGACACUCUAUACGGAGUUACAAAAGAAAGUUAUAAAUGAAGCGGUCUGGAAAGGCCCGCCAAAGACGGUAACAGCCCGGUAGUUGAAAUGGCUUUCCCUCCAGAGUGGAUCCUGAGUACGGCGGAACACGUGAAAUUCCGUCGGAAUCCGGGAGGACCAUCUCCCAAGGCUAAAUACUCCCUAGUGACCGAUAGUGAACCAGUACCGUGAGGGAAAGGUGAAAAGCACCCCGGAAGGGGAGUGAAACAGUUCCUGAAACCGUGU
This 369-nucleotide ribosomal RNA is filed under the name Listeria monocytogenes. Its description in RNAcentral is "partial 23S ribosomal RNA". It matches the Rfam family "Bacterial large subunit ribosomal RNA", at positions 197 to 561 of the family's 2925-position model. Lineage: Bacteria; Bacillati; Bacillota; Bacilli; Caryophanales; Listeriaceae. The record is from RNAcentral.